UUACGUGAGUAAGAGAGGAGAGAAACCGAGAGUGAGAUGGAAUUUAAGACAGAGAGCUGAAGAGGAAGAAAGAGAGUUUAGGCGAGAGAGAGAGAGAGAGAGAGAAAGUCAGUGAAGGGAUUGUUAUGGGUAUGGACCAACUGCAGCAGAACGGGUUUCAAGUAAUUACCUUUGAUGAUCCAUUCAUGUAAUCCACUUUUUUUGUAGUGCUUGCAGGAAUGGAAAAUCAAGGUAAUUAUGCAGUUGUGAUUAGAGAUUCAUAUUGAGAUGUACAGAGAUUCCAAGUUGGUUAAGUUUUGUCUAGAGUUUAGACUGUCGGAUAGAUUUGUAUAAAUGCCUUGUACGACAUAGCUUUGGGUAUUUUUGUAUAAAGAAAAGUAUUUUAACAGUAUACUUUUGUAUUGAUAAUUACAGUUUUUCCGCUAUAUGAGAUUAGGUUGUUACAA
This is a non-coding RNA of Corylus avellana, 446 nucleotides long. The record is from RefSeq and is a predicted model, not a curated record. Lineage: Eukaryota; Viridiplantae; Streptophyta; Magnoliopsida; Fagales; Betulaceae.